Molecule: ribosomal RNA, 468 nt
Filed under: uncultured bacterium
Lineage: Bacteria
Description: partial 16S ribosomal RNA
Rfam family: Bacterial small subunit ribosomal RNA
Source: RNAcentral
GACGAACGCUGGCGGCGUGCUUAACACAUGCAAGUCGAACGGAAAGGCCCUGCUUUUGUGGGGGGCUCGAGUGGCGAACGGGUGAGUAACACGUGAGUAACCUGCCCUUGACUUUGGGAUAACUUCAGGAAACUGGGGCUAAUACCGGAUAGGAGCUCCUGCUGCAUGGUGGGGGUUGGAAAGUUUCGGCGGUUGGGGAUGGACUCGCGGCUUAUCAGCUUGUUGGUGGGGUAGUGGCUUACCAAGGCUUUGACGGGUAGCCGGCCUGAGAGGGUGACCGGCCACAUUGGGACUGAGAUACGGCCCAGACUCCUACGGGAGGCAGCAGUGGGGAAUAGUGCACAAUGGGCGGAACGCUGAUGCAGCAACGCCGCGUGCGGGAUGACGGCCUUCGGGUUGUAACCCGCUUUCGCCUGUGACGAAGCGUGAGUGACGGUAAUGGGUAAAGAAGCACCGGCUAACUACGUG